Molecule: ribosomal RNA, 292 nt
Filed under: uncultured bacterium
Lineage: Bacteria
Description: partial 16S ribosomal RNA
Rfam family: Bacterial small subunit ribosomal RNA
Source: RNAcentral
GUGUCAGCCGCCGCGGUAAUACGGAGGGAGCUAGCGUUGUUCGGAAUUACUGGGCGUAAAGCGCGCGUAGGCGGCUUUGUAAGUUAGAGGUGAAAGCCCGGAGCUCAACUCCGGAACUGCCUUUAAAACUGCAUCGCUUGAAUCCAGGAGAGGUGAGUGGAAUUCCGAGUGUAGAGGUGAAAUUCGUAGAUAUUCGGAAGAACACCAGUGGCGAAGGCGGCUCACUGGACUGGUAUUGACGCUGAGGUGCGAAAGCGUGGGGAGCAAACAGGAUUAGAUACCCCCGUAGUCC